Molecule: non-coding RNA, 76 nt
Organism: Eragrostis curvula (weeping love grass)
Lineage: Eukaryota; Viridiplantae; Streptophyta; Magnoliopsida; Poales; Poaceae
Source: the annotation of a GenBank genome assembly
GCUUGGGUUGGCGCAGUGGUUAGUUCGUUUGUUCCCUACGCCGAAGGUCCCAGGUUCGAGCCCAGCGCACCACGCU